GUAUGCCUAAGGAUUUGUCAUUUGCGUUACAUCCACAAUUAGUAGGCAUAAUGAAAUAAAGUAUCUCUAGUGUUUCAAGGUAUUUUUUUAUUAUUAUUCAUAUAUUCACAUAUACUAUGAAACCAUUAAAGAUAGGGAAAACAAAAUAUUUCUAACAUGGGGAUGGCACAGUAACUUUCCUGAAAGAUGGUAAAAAUAACAAAACAAGAAGAAUUCCAAAGUUCCCUUGAAAUGAUUCUCUUUCAAGACAUGAUGUUCCAACAUCUAAUACCCAUUUCCUAAGGCUGACCUUGCCAGCCAUGCACAAAUUCACAAACGUACACUUAUUUGCAUGUUAACACCUAUAAAGACAAUGAUCUUCUAAACUUAAUGAAAAGACAUGAAAUGUCUCAAAUGAUAGGAAUAUGGAAGGAAAAAGGAGUACCCUUGAAUCUAAGAGCCACUUUUACUGGCAUUUAGACCAGAAGCAGCUCUUUCAAGUCUUCAGGAAGAUACCAGGCUCUACCCAAAGCAGAGGAAGCAAUCCUAUGCAUCCUCUCUUCCAAUAUUUCCUCUUAAAACCCACAUAAAUUAUUAAAUGUCAUAACUAAGUAUGUUGUACAAGGAAAACAUUCAAAGAAAUGAAAAUCUAAGAAGGUAAUUCACUAUGUGCACACUUUCCUAACAAAACAGCUAGGCAUUUCCUACCUGACUAAUCUAUUUUAAAUUCGGUUCCUCUGUUCCUAUGCAAUCUAAUAUUAUCUAUUAAAACUGCCAAAAUAUUUUUAAACAAGAUCUGAGAAUUUCUCUCUCAGCUUCUGAUCUUUGCACUCCUUAAGCUGGCAGACACGUCACUGGCAAACCAAUCGGUAGUGACAAGUUACUCCAAAUCACCCCUUUCGGUUGAAAUUUUAAAUUAACCACCCCCAAAUUUUCCAUGCCUCCCGAACCUCAGCGAACAAGGGGUUAAGUAAAUGUAUGCGAGUCCAGGAUUCCUCCUGAUCACCUGCUGCAAAACUUGUUCUGCACAAUCUAUAAAUGAAUAUUCCAACUCUACUAUGAUUGUGUUCCCCAGGAUCCUGCAGCAUUUACACUUACUAGAAGUGUUGCUUCUCAUCCCAAGCCUUGUGAGCCCUAAGACUUCAAACCAGGGACAUGGAGAAGCACGCACUUCCAGUGUUUCUCCGUGGUAAGGUCACACACCUCUGCAUCCGAGGCUUGUGUGUCCCACAUGUGUCUGCAAAUUCCUCACUCGGCCUUGGAGGCACAAUGAGUCUCCUCGCUUCCCUGCACUGCACCUCGGUGCCAAGUUUCUGUAAGCCACUUCCAAGCAAAACUCUCCUUCCGCUUCUUCAAAGAAAACUACGUUCGGAAGGAGAGGAUACCCGGGAAGAAAAUUAAGAAGGAUUGCCCUCCUCUGACUAAUUCCAGUCUUAGCAGACCUCAUCUUAGGAAACUUGUCUUCAGACUCCCUCAUGGACUGUGCCAGGUGCCUCUGCUCUGAAGUCUGGAAACAUUUCAUACCCCCCUCUCCUUAAUGGGGACUCUGGAUCAUACAGGAAGAAGACUUUGAAAAAGAAGAGACCAUAGAAAGAGAAGACAAGCAUUGCCCUCGGACCUUAGUACAUCAGUAUUAAAGCACAAAGCUGGAAGGUAGACACUCUGGAAUGGCCUGCUGCUCACAGCUACUUCAAUUAAAUUCAACCUGACAAUAUUUAUUGAGGAUCUAUCAUGUGCCAGAAGCAGUGCAAGGUGUCUAAGUUCCAGAUGUCAUCUGAGAUACUAAAUGUUUGCCUCUAAUUCUUGCUAUAGUGGUGAGAGGGGCACCAUCAACAGACCCUAGAAGAACAGUUUGUGUUUUUAUAAUCAAGGUAUGUAUCAAGAGCUGUGGAGGUACAAGGAGACUGAAAUUUCCAGAGAAAUGAGGGAGGGUAGGACUGAUGCGUGUACUUGGCCUUGGUAUAUGACUAGGAAAUGGCCACGUGGAACAAGAAAAUCAAAAGACUAGCAGUUACGAAAGCAGACUCAAAGGACAGGAUAAGUUGGGAACUGGCCAAGGAGUCGGUCGUGGCAGGGAAUAGUGAAUGGGGAUAAGGACAUAUCCUAAGAGCUCUUCCAUGCCACGCUUAAGAAUUGUGACCUUAUUCUGUGACUUGAUAAGCAAGACAGUGACAUAGUUAAAUGUAUAUUUUAGGAAAAAAAAAAAAAAGAACUGUGGCGACAACGUAGUGGUUUGAAUGAGAGACCGGUUAGGACUCUUACAAAAUAAAAAAAUUAAAGUCCAGGGGCAGAUCUGCACUAUAUGUCUAUGUCUAUGGGAGAAAGAAACUAUAGAACUUGGUGACCAGUUGAGAAAGAAAGCAAGACAAAAGGGGGUCAAGGAUCUCAGGUUUCUAGUUUAAGCAACUAGGUGAAUUGAUUGAGUUAACAAAAACUGCGAACAUCAAAGCACUUUUGCAUUCAAUCUUGAUUCUGUGGCAUGUAAAGUGCCCAGGUGGCAUUCUUGUGAAUAUGGAAAUAAUAUAAAGAUAUGGAAAUGUGAUCUAAGAUACCAGGUUAGAGAAGCAGUAGAAUAACAAGAUUAUUAAGUUUUAAAAUAUGAAUGCCAGG
This is a long non-coding RNA of Tupaia belangeri chinensis (Chinese tree shrew), 2589 nucleotides long. RefSeq lists it as uncharacterized. Lineage: Eukaryota; Metazoa; Chordata; Mammalia; Scandentia; Tupaiidae. The record is from RefSeq and is a predicted model, not a curated record. The transcript has 3 exons.